CCCGUGCCCGGAUCGCUCCCGUGUCGGGAUCGUUCCUGAGGGUGGGAUCGUUCCCGUGCCCGGACCGCUCCCGUGCCCGGACCGCUCCCGUGGCCGAGGCUCGCCGCCCUGCUCCCUGUCCCGGUGGCCGCGGCCCGGGUGCGCUCAGGCCCAGCCCGGCCGCUCCCGCCGUGUCCCUCAUCCCGGCCUCUCCCGGCCCCUGCCCCGGUGGCGUUUGUGUCCCACAUCGCCGCGGUUCCCGUAGUGCCGCUCCCGGCCUGGCCCCCGGUGCCUGGCCCUGGGUGUCCCGGUCGGGCCUUGGGCAGCUGCGCGGGUCGCUGGGAAUGGCUGUGUCGCUGCAGCAUCCUCCGCCUGCCCGGCUCUGUUCUGCCGGGACCGUCGGGCUCAGAGCUCCUGAGUCAUCACCUGCUAACACAGCCGGACGCAAGCAGGUGAAUAUGAGCUUUAGACAGUUUUACACAAACGUGUGGCUGGUGGUGACACAUUAGUGAGCAAAUACUAGCCAGAAGCUACAGCAGUGGAUUGGAACUGCAAGGCUGAACUAGAAUGAGAAAUGCAAAUCUGUGUUCAGACAAAGUUAUUGCUCAGCUGCAGCAGCACCAAGACUUUUCAUGUUAUUGUGGAAGAGUUGUGACAUUUCCCCCCAGGGCUUUUGGCAGCCUGGCAGAAGAUCCAGUGUGUAACUGAUUUCUCUGCCCAAGGAAGCUCUGAGCUUUGGGGGCAUACACAGCAGAGAAGCCUGGCUGGUCAGUGCUGCACUGCCACGCUCAGCGGGCUGUGUGACAGCUGAUUCCAGGGCAGCUCUGGACAGGCCCUUGCAGGAGACUGGGAAUCAUCGAUGCUCUUCUGAGGCAGUUGGGAAUUUCCAGAGGAGGCUGGUGAGAGAGGAAAAGGCCCCAGGGUGUGGCAGGAGCAGCCCAAGCAGCAGCCAGGUCUUGGGAAGGAUCUCUGCUGACCUUCGUGGGGCCUCGCUGGGAAUUCUGUGUUCCUGUGACACCCACGGGGGUUUGGCACCCACCCCGGGUCUGCGGGGGAGUUGUUUGGGAGUGAUGUGUGCUCUCGGAUAGCCCGGGGGAUGUGUGGGAGCACACAGUGGCAGGAGCCGGGCUGGCUGCUGCCUCUGCCCGUGCAGCCCGGCAGCUCAGAAGGCACAGCCAGCCGGGCUGCUGCAGGGCUCUGAGGAGCCUGCUCUGUGUCACUGGACCUGUCUUGAUGGGGACGAGUGGCUCAGGAUUUCCCAGUGGAACAACUUCAGCAGCAAAGUCGGAGGGAAGCAGUAGGCCAGGGAGCAGCCGAGCUCGAGUGAGUUACAAACCACAGCAGUUCCUGGGGUACCCAGGGGUGGCUGCAGCAGUGAGGAAAGCACUUCAAGCCUCCUUCCAGCCUGAAAGCCUGAGCUCCUGUCGAUCUGGCAGUCAGCCCCAGUCAGCCUCCUCCCUUGCAGUACCCGGGGCUCAUCCUGCUGUUGCCAGAGCUCACCUGGCUCGGCUGCAGCUGAGGCUGCACAGAGCUGCAGGCACGGGGAGCUCUGCUCUGCUCACCAGGCUGGCUAAGGCAAACCUGCCUGUUGCUCAUUGACACGUGCCUGCAGCAGGCAGUUGGUUUGUGAGAGCGUAAAUGAGUAACCUGGAGAAACCACAGUCAGAGCAGGAUUGUCCUUCCUAAAUCACUGAUUUGUCCAAGUAUUUUUCUGUGAAAAGUUCCUGAUUUGCCUCUAUCUUUUUGUUCAGAGCAGUUGGGAAUUAAUACUAAAUACCAACUUAAAAACUUCAAAUUGUGUCAUACAUGAAGUGGAAAAAUCCAUGGGGGUUGAGACUUUGCCCUUCUGAUGUCCCUGAUCUGAGGAGCUCAGGCGUUUGUCCGUUGAGAAUUCCCAACCGACAGCCACCCUUGGCUGUUGGCGUUGGGCAAUCCCAGCGUUUACAGAGCCUGGUGGUCAAACACCCAGGGACUGUCAAGGUCACAGCCACAGCCUGUGUCACACACACACGGGGACCAGGACUGCUGAGACCUCUUGUGGUUUCCCUCCCCCGUGUCCUCACAGCCCGAGGAGGAGGAGGAGGGUGGCUGAGCAGCUCUUCAGCAUUUGCACCAUGUCUUGCUGCACAGACAGCUUUCCUGGGCAGACCUUGCUCUCCCAGUACCUAACUGGGGGUGGAAGCAGCAGAACAGAUAUUUCCAGUUUGUCUGAAGGACAGUGUGCUAUGAGAGAAAAAAAAAAUACUAUUUAAUAGUUCAGGGGGAUUUUCUUGAGCAUAUAGUUACUCCUGGCUAUUUAUAGCACUGUUAUUUAAAUAUCCCAAAGAUCCCGUCACCAGAGGUUUUUUCAUGAUUCCUUUGAAGAACAAACCCGUACUUAUUUGAACAAGUCACAUCAUGAGAGUUGUUUUUGUACCCUUCCCACCCACACAAGCCUAGCAGUGAUUUUCAUUUGGAGCUGGUUCACCAGAGGAGCAGGCAGCCGAGGAGCCCCUGCGAGGGCACAGGGAUUCAGCUGAAAGCUGCAACCCGUGUGGUGGGACAGGCAUUCCCUGCAGGAGGCUGCCUUUGGCCUCAGUCAGGGACACGGGUGGCUCUCCAUCACCGAGAGCUCGGUUCAGUGUCUGUCCCGUCCUUGCAGGGGCCCAAGGGAGGACAGACACACAAACCACGUUUGGAAAUGGUGUAAGUGACCAAGCAGAAUCCAGGCCUGCUUAGUCCCUACCUAAGGGAACAGCCAUCUCACCUGGGACAGCUCUGAGCCAUCCUGGGUUCAUGAAAAACUUUCUUUUCCUCCUUGUGCAGUUUUUAGCUCCAGAACAGAAUUCAUUCCCCAAGUUCAAGUAAGUUCUGUGGUUUCACUUUAUUAUUUUCCUUUGUAAAAUAUUUCAGCAGCAUCAGUUGGGCAGGGAUUUUGAAGCUAUUUCCUUAGACAGAAUUGCCUACUCCAACAGUGCAAUUUUCCCCUAAAUACGUUUUUUCCAACUGCAUACAAAACUAAAAUAAAGCUCUCCUUUCAUUCCUUCCCUGUGGCUACAGGGUAUUUGUGAUCUCAAGUAACAGGGAGGCUCCACUGUCCAGAAGAGGAACUUCAGGAAUGUUUUUGACAGCAGUGAUUGAGCAGGUGCUGCUCAGGAGCUGGCUCCUGCCUGGAUCCCACUCCAGGUCCAACCUGAAUUAAGGAACAUUUCCUCUGAAGUACAGAAAAUGAAAUUUAACAGUUCACACACUGCUGCUUUCCACUCCACAGGAACCACCUGUCCAGGUGUCUGCAGGUCUGUCUGCUCACCAUGCAGGAACAAUAAGAUGUCUCAGAAGAAGUCAAUGCAGUCACACUUUAAUGUGUCUUUACAUCCUUUUACGAUUCACAAAGUCAGAAUAUAAGUACUUAUACACUUUUAAUGGGGAAGUAAUGUAUCCCCCUGAAAGAAAAAUAGAUGUGAUUAAUCAUUUGUCAGAGAAGUUGCCUGACAGCUGAAACCUCAAGCUUCUAGGCAAAAAAAGCUCAAAUAGACAAAUUAUACUGAAUUGUUCUUUAAAGACCAAGCAGCUGUUUUAUUACAAUAUUAAAUUUACAUUUUAAAAAGAAAUAUUCUGAUUUAUUAUUCAGUUAUGAUAAUCUUAUUGAAGUGACAUGAAAUUCAUGACAAUGGGCUUUCUUCUUCCUCAGUCACCGCAGGCAAUCUCAGAUCUGUGCAGGAUCCCACACCCAGAGCAGCACCAGUCUGGGAAGACAAACCCCAGACACUCGAUUUUAACUGGAAUCUUAAUUUUCUCCAGAAAAAGUGGGGUGUUGGGCUCUGUAACUGGGCUGGAUUCCUCGGUUCAGCCCCAAAGAACCCACCCAAACUGGUUCCAACAGAGAGAGGACAUCAGUGUCCACCACCUUCACCCUGCAGCCCCUGGAAUGACCUUCGAACAACUGGGAGCAGGUUGAAUUUACAUUUUACUUCAAAAAAAAGGGGGAAGUACAUACAUGAGGGGAGAAUGGGGUGAACAAGAAUUAUCUGAAACCAGGUUUCCACCACUGUGACCCACAGCUCCCAGGGCUGGGCCAGCAGCUCUCCAGGCUCACACCCUGGCUUGGACAGCACGACCAGGACUGGGACCAUGGAAACCCCUGGGAAGCCGAGGCCGGAUGGAAGCAGUGAGGUCACACACAGGGUGAGUGUGUCGGACACAGCUCCUGGUUUAAAUGAUGGAAUGCACCAGCAGGAGGGAGGAGGAGGAGUUAACAGUUACUAACACUAGAAUAAUCAAAUUUGUAUGUUAUACAUAUACAGCAACUAACUGCUUUACAAAAAAAGCAAAAUAAUACAAUAUAUUGUCACAUGUAUUUACAGUGUAGUAAAUAUACUUUUCUGUCAAAUUUUACACAAAACCUAUUUACAGGUGAAUAUACUGCAUAAAAAAAAAGGUGGGACCAACACUCUGAGUGACUGUCUGUGGUUUGUUGCAUAACAAUAGGACGUGCUUUGUGACUUCGGAAAAAAAUUAACCUUAGAAUGAAACAGAAAAAGCCCUAAAACCUACAAACCCGGGUCAGAGGCAGCCCCAGCACAUGCUGGGGGCUCAGCCCACGAGACUCAGUGAAAUGCUCCCUGUCCUGGGAAACCUCAUGCACGGUAAAGCAGAAACGUCGGCAUCAUUACAGGUAGGUUAUGCACUAUUCAAAUACUACUGAGUUAUCUUUAAGUCAGGGAAAAUACAAACACAAACAGAAUGUUAAUUGUCUUUACAGUACUGAGCUGUGGUCAGUGUGGGGCAGGGAAGGGGCUCUGAGCCAGGGGGUCACACACGCUCCCGGGAGGGCGUUACAUGGUCCACGUGUUCCAAUCGGGUUUUUCUGAGUUUAAAGUUUUCCUGUCAGAGCACAGGAACUCUGGGGCUGCAGCUCCAGCCCUGCAGCAGAGCCUGCAGCAGCAGAGCCUGCAGCAGCAGAGCCUGCAGCAGCAGCCACUGCCAGUGGCCCAUGGGUUGCCCGGAGUGCAGUGGCACUGGGCACCCUGGGAUGGGGCUCCUGCGUGUCAGGCCAGGGCUCACACCCACACUGUCACCAGCAACAACCUGCUGGUCACCAGAGAGCAGAGCAGCAGGUGGAGAAAGGAUGGAGCAGCCCGGGAUGGGAGCAGAGCUCCCAGGGAUGGAAGGGGAUGGAGAGUGCUCAAACAGCGACAGAACAAAGGAAGGAGGAUGUGAGAAAGAAAAGAGGCAAAUCCCAGCAGAGGCUGCUGGAGGGAGCGGGACAGCGAUGUAGUGACAGUAAGGCACUCAACAACUAAUUACUGAUGGGAGUUUAAUCAUUACACAGAGGCCAUGGUUCCCUGGGAGCCAAGCACAAACUUCCCAAGCACCAGUACUAGGAGACAAGGUUCCUGUCUAUCAGGGCACACACAAUCCCAAAUUAAACCUUGGCCAUCAGCAGUCCUUACACCCCAAUCCACCUGUUACCUGACACAGGUGUCUGAUACCUCUGCUCUGCCAGAGUCCAGGCCCUCUCACUGAACCUCUCACACAGGGAAAACUCCAACCAAAUCCUUCCAGGAAAGAGGAAAUUCACUUUUGUUCACUGACUUUAUGAAGAGACCAUUUUGUUCAGCUGGGACCGAGAGCCUGGAGCAGUUCCCACAGGGAAGGUGACUUUCAUGCCUGUCCCCUCUGCUCGCACAUGUCUGUGCUGCAGGGAGCACAGCAGUUCUGAUGGAGGGACACUUCUGACAUGGGCCAUGCAGAACAGCGAAGGGCUUGCUCUCUGCCCAAACAAAUCAAUCAGGCAGUUCCUCUGGAAUUACUGUUCCUGUUUGCAGAUCUGCUCACGUGAGAAACAACUGAAAACAGCACACCACCUUUACAAGAGAUUGUUUUCCUCCUACAUACAAAUCCUCAGGCUUCUACAAUUCCUUGUCCUCAGCAAAACGGGAAGGGCUGGAACCAGCUCGACUGGGCACAACCCAGUGCAAACCCCAGUCACACCAGGGGUGGCUCCUCACAAUCUGAGUUGUGAGAUGACAAUGGUUUCCAACCUGGGGACCCCAAACCCAAGGCUUGAGCCCCUGCUCUGUCCCUGAGCCCAGCUCAGCCUCACGGCCCUGCUGAGACCCCACUCUGUGUCACCAGUUCCUGCCCUGGCGCCUGCACCACCCCAGUGAGGGGAUUUGGUUAAUUGCACCAGUUCAUCUUUCUAGCCUGUUUAUUCCAUGACUGCUAAUUCUAGGUUUUCCUCUUGUUUUGGCAAACUACUUGCAUAUGAAGUUUGUGUUCAUAGUUUUUCCAGGACUGUAAACAAAUUAAAGAAAUUGUUAUUUUAUGAAUCAAUACAAUAAAGGUAUUUUUAUUUACAUAAAUGUUACAUUGUUACUGUGUGGAUACAUGGGAAUUAUGUGCUAUAGCAAUAAAUUGGAACCCUUAAUUGUACCAUUCUCUAAUAAUUUAGCUGUGGAGUUUGAUUUACUGAAAGCCACUAACGAUUGCACUGGAGGACUGGCUUUUACCUAAUGGUUAUACUUUUUUUCUCCUUUAAAGCCACUGAAGGAUUGUUAUUUCCUACCACAGCAGAGGGAUCUGAAACUGGGAAGCGGAUCUGUUUCUGAGCAGGAGCUGUGUGAGCCCCAGGGACACAGCCCCUGCCUGAACUCAGCUCCACUCACAGCCCGCAGUGCCCGCGGCACCGGGGCCGCGCCCAGCGGCUCCUCCCUCGCCACCAGCGGCUCCUGACUGCCCCAGCCCCAGGUCUGUGCAAGCCCCGAACCCACCCCGGGACAGCGACGGCAGCCCCAGGUCUGUGCAAGCCCCGCCGGAGCCCCGAACCCGCCCCGGGAGGGACCGCGCCACCCACCCCUCCCUGGACUGGACAGUGUCAGUUAAUUUAAAUUCAUGUACCUUGAGCAGACGUGGCUGUUUCUGUCCCUGCCCGGGCAGCACAGGGGCAAGCUUUGCCACACACUAUCCCCCGGAGCCGGGAAUGAAUCCAUCCCAUUUUCCCUCCAUUCCCCACCGGAUACUCUGCCAGGAGCUCUUGAAGGUGCACAUUGUUGGGAAGGGCAGAACUAAAGCACGUGCUACAAUGACAGCUCGAGGCUCAGUUCCCAGGGAUUUUCCCCUGUACAACUUCCUCAGGGAAGAUGAAGUACAGCAAAAAAAAAAAAAAAAAAGUUUUGGGAAAAAAAAGCCAGUUUGUCCAGUCUGGUCCAUGUACAGUCCAAGUGUGUGAAGCUUGGUCUGGGGAAUGAGGGACUCCUGCAGCCUCCUUUUCCUCUCCCCUUUAUUGCUAAUUACCUGAAAUUUAACCUAAUCCACCACUUCUGUUAAGCUCCUUGUACUGCAGCUAUCAUGAACUUCUU
Passer domesticus (house sparrow) is the source of this 7319-nucleotide long non-coding RNA. RefSeq lists it as uncharacterized. The record is from RefSeq and is a predicted model, not a curated record. NCBI's taxonomy places the organism in Eukaryota, Metazoa, Chordata, Aves, Passeriformes, Passeridae. The transcript is spliced from 2 exons.